Molecule: non-coding RNA, 2030 nt
Organism: Meleagris gallopavo (turkey)
Lineage: Eukaryota; Metazoa; Chordata; Aves; Galliformes; Phasianidae
Source: RefSeq, a predicted model, not a curated record
AACCUGGGCGGUAACUGGAGCCGGGCAGGGGCUGGGGCUAGGACAGGACAAGAUCAGGGGCAGAGGCAGGGAAAGGGCAGAGAAGGACCGGGACAGAGAUAAGACAGGGGUAAGGACAAGGAUGGGACAAGGGGAGGGACAGGGUCAUGGGCAGGACGAGGAUGGGGGCAGAACAGGAGGACAGGGGCAGGACAGAGACAGGAAUUGGACAGGAGCAGGAAUAGGACAGAGGCAGGAGCGGGGAUGGGGGCAGGACACAGAGGCCAAGGCACCCCCCGGCCACCUGAGGAUCCCUCCUGCAGGCCUCUGUCCCAGGAUCUGGCAGCCCCUGGGGUCCAGGUUGGAACAGGAGCAGCUCUGAGGGUCUUUUCUUUGUCCUGGCUCGUGGAAGGGAGACCUGCAGCCCCCCUCAUUUUGGGGGGUCUGCUUUGCAUUGAGCUGUUCUCCUUUGCUCACUGCUCCUGUCACAGUGCACAUCCAUCACUUUGCAGCCAUGCCAAUGACUUGCUGAAAGCCAAGGUGGAGUUGUUUCAGAACCAGUACCACAAGAUGCAGCUGAGCAGCGGAGACCUCCCACAGCACGGCUCCCCACCAGAGCUGGUACCCGUACUGACACGUGGCAGGUCCAGAUCCAGGCUGCGCAGCAGUUCAUCGGCCUACUUUGGAGCCCUGACAGUGGAGCAGAAAUGUGAGCUGGCUGAGCGGGAGCUGCUGGAUGUGAAAAGUGACAUUCAGAAGAUGGAGGAGGAUUCGGAGAAGACCUUGCAUGACCUCGAGGCAGUCAUACAAGAAGCAGAUGCUUGGUGGGCUGAUGUUAAGAAAGUUGGCAAUGACUUUGAGGAAGACAUUGUCAGAACCAUCUCCAACGACAAAGGGAGCAUCACAGCUUCUGAGAAGCUGCUGAGAUACCUGGAGGAGAAGAACCACCAGAGGGAUCUGAUGAGACAGAAGCUACGCUUAGAAAGCAAUUUUCUCAGGAGCUACAAGAAGAAGCUGCAGCAGCAGCUCAGGCAGAAGGAGCAGGUGGGAGACGUGCUUCAUGAGGUCCACGCAGAGCUGCUGCAGGUUAAGAAAGCACAGUAUGAGGAGGAGAUUGAUGAGAAGAACAAGGAGCUGCAGCAGCUAAAGCUGGCCUUAGAGAAGACCCAGAUCCUCGACUUUUGGAAGAAAAAGCUGCACAAUGCCAUGGAAACAUCUACAGUUCUGAUGAAAGACAUCUCCCAGAGGAAAGAGAUGCUGGAGAAGAUCGAAAGAAAUACUACUCUUGUGAAGGAGCAACAAGCCAAAGAGGAGAGACUCAUUGGGUGGCUGCAGAAGCAGCUGUCAGACUACAGCACCCCUCCCGUGAUGAAUUACGUGCAGACAAUGAUUGCUGUUGCUGACCUGAAACAGAGUAUCAAGGCUUGGGAGAGGAAGGUGGCAAUUGCUGAGGUGAGGGAGAUGGGGCCAGGAGAGGGCUGGGUGCUGUCUCCUGCUGUGCUGCUGCAGGUAGCACUGGAGGCUCUUCCUGUUGCCUGCUCCCCACCCCCAGAACAGAGACUGAAUUUUAACAACUGAGCUUGGAGGUGAGGAUGCAGCACGUAACUUGACAGGCUGCUCCAUCAGGCUGGGCUCAUGUCGGAACCCAAAGGGUGUGUAAGAAGAAGGGGACACACAGUGCCAGGGACGUGUCUGGUUGCAGCACCCCAGCCAGCCGAUGGCUCCCCAGUGCUGGUGGUUCUCUUUGAUGAUCUCAAACAUUUCUUCCUCGUCUGUAUCUUGACUGUUCCCUGGUAAGGAAUGGCUGUAUCUGACAAAGAGCCAGCAAACAUGAGUUCAUGGCAAAGUUGCAAGAACAGUGUCUUUGUCUCUGGCCCUGGCACAACUCCUGCAGCCUGGGAGGAGAUAUGGAGAUAAGAGAAGAGCAUUGUCAAAGCCCAAGGGCUACAGUGAGCACUGAGUGCAGAUGACCUUGCAAAGCCACCAGAAAGCAUGGAAUCAAGUCAAGAUGUCUGGUAACCUGCACCUGCCUUGUGUGAUGCUUCAGGGCA